This is a non-coding RNA of Desarmillaria tabescens, 93 nucleotides long. Lineage: Eukaryota; Fungi; Basidiomycota; Agaricomycetes; Agaricales; Physalacriaceae. The record is from the annotation of a RefSeq genome assembly.
UGCCCCAUGGCUGAGUUGGUCACAGCGUCCGACUGUUACAUUGUUGUUUCAAUGGUGAUCGGAAGGUCGAGAGUUCGAGCCUCUCUGGGGCAG